This 468-nucleotide ribosomal RNA is filed under the name uncultured bacterium. RNAcentral's name for it is "partial 16S ribosomal RNA". It matches the Rfam family "Bacterial small subunit ribosomal RNA", at positions 28 to 507 of the family's 1533-position model. The record is from RNAcentral.
GACGAACGCUGGCGGCGUGCUUAACACAUGCAAGUCGAACGGAAAGGCCCUGCUUUUGUGGGGUGCUCGAUUGGCGAACGGGUGAGUAACACGUGAGUAACCUGCCCUUGUCUUUGGGAUAACUCUAGGAAACUGGGGCUAAUACCGGAUAGGAGCUCCUGCUGCAUGGGGGGGGUUGGAAAGUUUCGGCGGUUGGGGAUGGACUCGCGGCUUAUCAGCUUGUUGGUGUGGUAGUGGCUUACCAAGGCUUUGACGGGUAGCCGGCCUGAGAGGGUGACCGGCCACAUUGGGACUGAGAUACGGCCCAGACGCCUACGGGAGGCAGCAGUGGGGAAUAUUGCACAAUGGGCGGAAGCCUGAUGCAGCAACGCCGCGUGCGGGAUGACGGCCUUCGGGUUGUAAACCGCUUUCGCCUGUGACGAGGCGUGAGUGACGGUAAUGGGUAAAGAAGCACCGGCUAACUACGUG